GACGAACGCUGGCGGCGUGCUUAACACAUGCAAGUCGAACGGAAAGGCCCUGCUUUUGUGGGGUGCUCGAGUGGCGAACGGGUGAGUAACACGUGAGUAACCUGCCCUUGACUUUGGGAUAACUUCAGGAAACUGGGGCUAAUACCGGAUAGGAGCUCCUGCUGCAUGGUGGGGGUUGGAAAGUUUCGGCGGUUGGGGAUGGACUCGCGGCUUAUCAGCUUGUUGGUGGGGUAGUGGCUUACCAAGGCUUUGACGGGUGGCCGGCAUGAGAGGGUGACCGGCCACAUUGGGACUGAGGUACGGCCCAGACUGCUACGGGAGGCAGCAGUGGAGAAUAUUGCACAAUGGGCGGAAGCCUGAUGCAGCAACGCCGCGUGCGGGAUGACGGCCUUCGUGUUGUAAACCGCUUUCGCCUGUGACGAGGCGUGAGUGACGGUAAUGGGUAAAGAAGCACCGGCUAACUACGUG
Molecule: ribosomal RNA, 468 nt
Filed under: uncultured bacterium
Lineage: Bacteria
Description: partial 16S ribosomal RNA
Rfam family: Bacterial small subunit ribosomal RNA
Source: RNAcentral